UACAGAGGUCUCAAGCGUUGUUCGGAUUCAUUGGGCGUAAAGGGUGCGUAGGCGGCAGUGCAAGUCAGGUGUGAAAUCCCGGGGCUCAACCCCGGAACUGCACUCGAUACUGCUCUGCUAGAGUACUGGAGAGGAGACUGGAAUUUACGGUGUAGCAGUGAAAUGCGUAGAUAUCGUAAGGAAGACCAGUGGCGAAGGCGAGUCUCUGGACAGUUACUGACGCUGAGGCACGAAGGCCAGGGGAGCAAACGGG
RNAcentral lists this ribosomal RNA (253 nucleotides) under uncultured bacterium. Its description in RNAcentral is "partial 16S ribosomal RNA". It matches the Rfam family "Bacterial small subunit ribosomal RNA", at positions 524 to 776 of the family's 1533-position model. The record is from RNAcentral.